UACAUUCGAGCCGUUAUGUUUUGUUUAAUAUGUUUUCGAAGCGACAGUUCGUUCAAUGCAAUUUUUUAAUAGUUUUGAGGUGAAAAACAGAAUUUGUAUUUUUUUGCCCAAUCGGUAAUUUUAUACAGAUAUUUGCGACAUUUAUUUAUAUGCGGUUCUUAGAGGACACUGAUUAAUCGCUUUCAAACACAAAUAAAAUAAAAACUAGUACCAGUUAUUUAUUUUCCAAAUAAGGUUUUAAGACCCUAAAUAAAUCAUUCUAAAUUGUACAAAAUUUUCCACUAACCAUGAUCUUAUCGUUCUGAAAGGGUUAAACGUGUUCUGUGCAUAAAUUUGGAUUUUGAUGCUUUUUGUGCUUUUUAAUUUAAUUUGGCAGGUGGCCAUGGUACAGUACAGAGGAAUAGGUACACUAGGUACAAUAGGUACGACUGCACAGCCCGGCAUCGUGGGUUCGAGCCCAGCGGUGGGCUCAGUAGUUUUUCUAAAAUCGAAAGCUUAACUGAAGCCACCUGUGCGAUAACACUAGACAAUAUUCAUCGAUGUCUCCUUCCUCUGUACCAAGUAGUUCUAUGUUAUAUGUUCUUUCUUUGUUUCUAUCUGUCUUUCUCUUUGUCAUUGUCUGGUGUUGUCUCAGCCAAAUGGCCUCAGUUGCCGCGCUGUUAAGUGUCAGAACUUCGUACAUUUAUGUACUUUGUACUAUGAAUAUAAUAAUAAUAAUAAUUUAAUUUGUUUGUUUUGUGUUGCUUGGGAAUUCAAAUGAUUUAAAAUAAAAUAUUCAAAAACUAAAAGAAGCUUUUAGGUAUAAGAUGUGGUUGUUAGGUACUUGGAAAGGAUUAUUCUCAAGUCCGCUAGAUACAUUGGAAGUUAAUCAAAUAUAAUUAAAUGUUGUUUUUACAAUUUAUGGAAUUCUAAGCUAUGUUUUGAUGCACAAAUUUUCAUCUUAUUGAUGCUGUUUCUACUUGUUUUUAUUAGGGUAUUUCAAACACUGAUCAUUUUUUUUGUGCCUCCAUCAUUAUUAAUGUUGUUGAUGAUUUAAAAAAGGCAUUGGAUGAAUAUCAUGUCAGUUUUUUUGUUCUCUUAGAUGUCUGUAAAGCAUUUGACAUUGAAUAACUCCCAAAUUUACCAAAUCUUAAACCUUCAGAAAAGUACAUUUUGGUUCUUUUGGCAAAUAUUUUCUGACCAGUUAUCAAAAUUUUAAUUAAGUUUAGUAUUUGGCUUAUUAACUUAAUAUAUUUCAAGCAACAAAAAAGAUAUCGGAAGGAUUUAAACAGUUUUAGGCACCGUUGCAAAUUUAGCCACGAAAUCAGCCAAAAUUACGUUUUUUUUUGUAUUUUAUUGCGGUAAUAUUUAAAAAACGUAGACCAAUCAAACUUUUUUGACUUCGGAUUCGAGUUCAGCAUCCGAAAAGAAAUUCAGAAAAUUAUAUUUUGGUUCUUGUGGUAAAAACCUUGUUGACUAGUGUAAUUUAACGCUAUUGAACAAUAAUAUUAUAUCUAUUUUUAAUAUAACCCACUCACAUUAACCAUCAAGAUUUGGUUCCUCAAACAGAUUCCUUAUACUGACACCUCCGCGCUUUAAUUAAUUAAUUAAAGAUAGCAUGUAAGGGCCUAACCCUUGCUUUCCCGGUUGAGUAAGGAACUUCUAACUUACUUUCAGUAUAAUUAAGUUUGAUAUCGAUUCGUUAUAAAUUUAAAAAAAUAUUUAAAUGUAUAGUAUAUUUCGGAUUAUUGAUAUUUUUUGUCUGAUAGAAUUGAAAUAAGAAAUAAAUAUUUAAUGAAAAUGGUCAAAUGGUUGUUCAAAGGUAGUCUUGCUAUAUGUUGCAGAGACACGGACUUUGACGAAAGCGGAUGAAAACACCUUGGAUUGAUUUGAGAGAAAACAAAAUGGGCACUAAAGGAGCCAAGGGCAUAUGGACAACAAUGAUCCGGCCCGAAAUGUUUUUGACAUCAACCCAGAGGGACGACGCAGAAGAGAAAGAACUCGUUUAAGGAGGCGCACGCAAGUGGGAAGGCCCUCAAUCAAAUAGGCGUGCGAGACUGGAACAGGUAAAGACAGAGCUGGCUGGAGAACCUUGUUGAUUGAGGUCCAAAUCCUCAAUGGAUUGUCGCCUUGUAGCACUGAUCACCUUAAGUGAGUUGAGACAUACAUAUAUAGUCAAUAUUAUGGUUAAAGUUGCUAAGCUACAGCUUCUUUGAUAACGAGCUAAGUACACGUUUGGAGUUAUUAAUGACACUUAGUUAUUCUCAGCCAGAAUAUACCUAUUCCAAAUAAUGGCAGAUAUGCACAAAAAGAACUAAUUGCUUUUACUUGAAAAAUUGUCAAGCAUACGGGCCAAUGGGUACCUAUUUUUUUCCUACCUCUUUCGCAUUAAACAGAUCAGAGAUUGCAAACUGUGUUUUUCCUACAACUUUGUAGUUACUCAUUAUACAUUUUAAACGCAAGACAAAAACAAAUUAUAAAAGGAUUUGUUUUGUGCUGCGAAUAAAAUGAAAAUAUGAGUUGAUACUGAGUUGUAGAAAAACUACCUACAGUCCUGAAUAAAAAAGGCAAAUAAGAAAUACAAGACUUAAUUAUAAGUUGUAUGUAUAAGCAUAGCUCCUCGUAAUACCCACUCCCUGAAUACAAUGGAGCAAAUAUAGCUGGAGUUUGUAGUACUGCGAAAACCCUACAAAAGAUGUCUAUUGCUGAGGUAACACUUGAAAUUUCUCUAUUUCAACCCCGUAAAGUUAGUAACCUAAAUCUUACAAUCGCCCACACAUCGAGAUAAUUUAUUCUAACGAUUUAUAUUUCUUUCUUAUAAACCGAUCUGAAACGACGAAGUAGAGAUCCACCUAAAGAAGAAUAAUACAACAAAUUGACUGCAUAAAAUAAUAUCCCUUUAAACGGAAAGCACGCAAUUUGUUUCUUUUUCAAAUUCACUUCCAUGCACUUGGUAUUAUUCAUGCAUGUGAUGGAGAAGUAUA
Episyrphus balteatus (marmalade hoverfly) is the source of this 2963-nucleotide long non-coding RNA. RefSeq lists it as uncharacterized. Lineage: Eukaryota; Metazoa; Arthropoda; Insecta; Diptera; Syrphidae. The record is from RefSeq and is a predicted model, not a curated record. The transcript has 2 exons.